Molecule: long non-coding RNA, 238 nt
Filed under: Elaeis guineensis (African oil palm)
Lineage: Eukaryota; Viridiplantae; Streptophyta; Magnoliopsida; Arecales; Arecaceae
Description: long non-coding RNA (EGUI_LNC042101)
Source: RNAcentral
AUGAGCAUAUCGAACAACACCUCAUAUACCAAUAGGAGAAUCGCCAUUCAACCUAGCCUAUGAAAUGGAGGUGAUUCCACUUGAGAUUGGAUUACCAUCAGUAAGAGUGAAACAAUAUAAUGAGUCGAGCAAUUCUGAAUGUUGGAAAGCCAACCUAGACUUACUUUUGAAAGUUCGACAGCAAGCUCAAGUUUGGAUGACAGUAUAUCGACAGAGAGUAGUCCGAUAUUACAAUGCA